RNAcentral lists this ribosomal RNA (441 nucleotides) under uncultured bacterium. RNAcentral's name for it is "partial 16S ribosomal RNA". It matches the Rfam family "Bacterial small subunit ribosomal RNA", at positions 338 to 795 of the family's 1533-position model. The record is from RNAcentral.
CCUACGGGUGGCAGCAGUGGGGAAUAUUGGGCAAUGGACGCAAGUCUGACCCAGCAACGCCGCGUGAAGGAAGAAGGCUUUCGGGUUGUAAACUUCUUUUAAGGGGGAAGAGCAGAAGACGGUACCCCUUGAAUAAGCCACUGCUAACUACGUGCCAGCAGCCGCGGUAAUACGUAGGUGGCAAGCGUUGUACGGAUUUACUGGGUGUAAAGGGCGUGCAGCGGGAGAUACAAGUCAGAUGUGAAAUCCACGGGCUCAACCCGGGAACUGCUUUUGAAACUGUUGCCCUUGAGUGUCGGAGGGGUAACCGGAAUUCCUGGUGUAGCGGGGAAUUGCGAAGUUAUAAGGAAGACCACCAGUGGCGAAGGCGGAUUACUGGACGAUAACUGCCGGUGAGGCGCGAAAGCGUGGGGAGCAAACAGAAUUGGAAACCCUGUAGUC